RNAcentral lists this unclassified non-coding RNA (373 nucleotides) under uncultured fungus. Its description in RNAcentral is "partial contains 5.8S ribosomal RNA, internal transcribed spacer 2, and large subunit ribosomal RNA". The record is from RNAcentral. Lineage: Eukaryota; Fungi.
AACGCAAAUGGCGCUUUCUGGUAUCCCGGGGAGCAUGCCUGCUUGAGAACCGUAAAGAAAUGUCACUGAAAGGGAUUCCCCAACGGGGGAUUUCUUCCGGUGGAAUUGGAUUACCGGCCGGUGGAUGUAUGUAUGUAUGUCAGCUGGUUCUGUGAUCCUAAAGACAUGUGUCACUUUUUGUUGCGUAGGGGUUGGUGGAAGUGUGUAUCAUAUCUUCCUUUCACCCUAAGGCGAGGAUAAUUAGGAAGGAGAGAGACAGUUUUCUUUCUCAAUCUUUCCAUUUUUCACAACAGCCGAUAGGGUUGGGAGACAGUUUUCUUUCACACCCCCGAAACAUGGUCUCAAAUCAGGCAAGAGAACCCGCUGAACUUAA